GUCCCUAUCGUCUAGAGGCCUAGGACAUCGCCCUUUCACGGCGGUAACCGGGGUUCGAAUCCCCGUAGGGAC
RNAcentral lists this transfer RNA (72 nucleotides) under Acinetobacter baumannii. Its description in RNAcentral is "tRNA-Glu". It matches the Rfam family "tRNA". From Rfam's summary of the family: Transfer RNA (tRNA) molecules are approximately 80 nucleotides in length. Their secondary structure includes four short double-helical elements and three loops (D, anti-codon, and T loops). Lineage: Bacteria; Pseudomonadati; Pseudomonadota; Gammaproteobacteria; Moraxellales; Moraxellaceae. RNAcentral also lists the same sequence under 2 other names. The record is from RNAcentral.